UGGGCUCACUAGUGCUACCUGUCGUUAAGGUGUUGCUGCUGUGGGGUGGUGUAAGAACCCCCUGACCGUCGUUUACACCUGAUCUGUAGGCCUGGGUAGAGCAUCCCGUUGGGUCUGGCUACAACGGGGAUACGUGCCGGAAUCCCUAAACCCGCUCUGUUGCGCCCUCAGGUCGGAGACGCGUUCAACAGCGCGUCGUGGGGUAGGCUAUUCCAUUGGGGGUGGGGGACACCACCGUUUUUCCCAUGUGUUUUUGUUUGUUUUUAUAAUCCAAUGUAAUGCGAGCUCUUCGGUAAGGCAGGUUGUAGGGUUUGUGAAAGUGGUCGUGCUGGCUGAUAUGGUAACUUCCCUGGUGGAACAUUAGUGGCCUCUGAUUGGCUAACUUUACGCACGGUUACAUUGUGAAUACGUUUGUGUGCCGUGGUACCUGUUUAUAUUGGUUUGCUGUGUAUUUAAAGUCACUUUUUCAUCUUUUGGUUUGAUUUGCGUUACUUUUGAUUUGCUGUACUUUUAUCUUUCACAAUGUAGCGGAGUGCGUCUUUUUCAUAAUAUAUUGGCUGUCUCAGCCUGACACUGAUGUCUACCUAAUUCAACUAUGCAGCCUGUGAUGUAAACUGAUGUUACAGUUUGUGAAACUGCGUUAUCAAUCCACACCUGUCCUUUUGAAAGUGCGCAUUUAAAGCAUUGAUUGAGAAAAGAAAAUAGAAAAUAAAGAAAAGUAUAUGUGUCAACAGCUGUGUCCUCAUCGAUCAUCUAGAACCUGUC
Engraulis encrasicolus (European anchovy) is the source of this 765-nucleotide long non-coding RNA. RefSeq lists it as uncharacterized. The transcript is spliced from 3 exons. The record is from RefSeq and is a predicted model, not a curated record. Lineage: Eukaryota; Metazoa; Chordata; Actinopteri; Clupeiformes; Engraulidae.